Long non-coding RNA from Cololabis saira (Pacific saury), 229 nucleotides. RefSeq lists it as uncharacterized. The record is from RefSeq and is a predicted model, not a curated record. Lineage: Eukaryota; Metazoa; Chordata; Actinopteri; Beloniformes; Belonidae. The transcript has 3 exons.
UCAACCACUUCUGCGCGCUCAAUCCAACGCACAACGCACUCCUGCCUCGUGGAAACAGUAAGUUGAAGACUGGUGGCAUUGCUAAGAUCUAAGAAUUCCAAGGCAUUGCAUUCAAACUCCUAUGAGUGGUUGUGGACUUGGAGGGAACAACUUGCUGGCCUUUGUGACACCCAGGAAACCUUUUAUGCUUAAUUGGACAGCAGCAGUAGAAAUAGAUGGGAAACACAGA